AAAUUGAAGAGUUUGAUCAUGGCUCAGAUUGAACGCUGGCGGCAGGCCUAACACAUGCAAGUCGAACGGUAACAGGAAACAGCUUGCUGUUUCGCUGACGAGUGGCGGACGGGUGAGUAAUAUCUGGGAAACUGCCCGAUGGAGGGGGAUAACUACUGGAAACGGUAGCUAAUACCGCAUAACGUCGCAAGACCAAAGAGGGGGACCUUCGGGCCUCUUGCUAUCGGAUGUGCCCAGAUGGGAUUAGCUAGUAGGUGGGGUAACGGCUCACCUAGGCGACGAUCCCUAGCUGGUCUGAGAGGAUGACCAGCCACACUGGAACUGAGACACGGUCCAGACUCCUACGGGAGGCAGCAGUGGGGAAUAUUGCACAAUGGGCGCAAGCCUGAUGCAGCCAUGCCGCGUGUAUGAAGAAGGCCUUCGGGUUGUAAAGUACUUUCAGCGGGGAGGAA
Molecule: ribosomal RNA, 452 nt
Filed under: Escherichia coli
Lineage: Bacteria; Pseudomonadati; Pseudomonadota; Gammaproteobacteria; Enterobacterales; Enterobacteriaceae
Also listed under: 1 other name
Description: bacterial SSU rRNA
Rfam family: Bacterial small subunit ribosomal RNA
Source: RNAcentral